This 869-nucleotide ribosomal RNA is filed under the name uncultured Oceanospirillum sp. RNAcentral's name for it is "bacterial SSU rRNA". It matches the Rfam family "Bacterial small subunit ribosomal RNA", at positions 56 to 918 of the family's 1533-position model. The record is from RNAcentral. Lineage: Bacteria; Pseudomonadati; Pseudomonadota; Gammaproteobacteria; Oceanospirillales; Oceanospirillaceae.
UGCAGUCGAGCGGUAACAGGAAUAGCUUGCUAUUCGCUGACGAGCGGCGGACGGGUGAGUAACGCGUAGGAAUCUGCCCGGUAGUGGGGGAUAGCCCGGAGAAAUCCGGAUUAAUACCGCAUACGCCCUAAGGGGGAAAGCAGGGGAUCUUCGGACCUUGCGCUAUCGGAUGAGCCUGCGUCGGAUUAGCUUGUUGGUGGGGUAAUGGCCUACCAAGGCAACGAUCCGUAGCUGGUCUGAGAGGAUGAUCAGCCACACCGGAACUGGGACACGGUCCGGACUCCUACGGGAGGCAGCAGUGGGGAAUAUUGCACAAUGGGCGCAAGCCUGAUGCAGCCAUGCCGCGUGUGUGAAGAAGGCCUUCGGGUUGUAAAGCACUUUCAGCAGGGAGGAAAGGUUGUAAAUUAAUACUUUGCAGCUGUGACGUUACCUGCAGAAGAAGCACCGGCUAACUCCGUGCCAGCAGCCGCGGUAAUACGGAGGGUGCAAGCGUUAAUCGGAAUUACUGGGCGUAAAGCGCGCGUAGGCGGCUUGUUAAGCCAGAUGUGAAAGCCCCGGGCUUAACCUGGGAACUGCAUUUGGAACUGGCAGGCUAGAGUACAGAAGAGGGUGGUAGAAUUUCCUGUGUAGCGGUGAAAUGCGUAGAUAUAGGAAGGAAUACCAGUGGCGAAGGCGGCCACCUGGUCUGAUACUGACGCUGAGGUGCGAAAGCGUGGGGAGCAAUCAGGAUUAGAUACCCUGGUAGUCCACGCCGUAAACGAUGUCGACUAGCCGUUGGGACCCUUGAGGUCUUAGUGGCGCAGCUAACGCGUUAAGUCGACCGCCUGGGGAGUACGGUCGCAAGAUUAAAACUCAAUGAAUUGACGGGG